Molecule: unclassified non-coding RNA, 3222 nt
Organism: Megachile rotundata (alfalfa leafcutting bee)
Lineage: Eukaryota; Metazoa; Arthropoda; Insecta; Hymenoptera; Megachilidae
Source: RefSeq, a predicted model, not a curated record
UCGAAAGUGAAAGUACUGAACUUUUUUCCAGAAGUUGAACUUUCAAAUCAAGUUUCCUAUCGAGCUGGAACUGGAGUUUCCAGUCGAAUUUCUAGAAACAAGAACACGAGCAAUAAUACUCUCUUUAAAAUCAGAGAAUUUUACAGAAAAGAUACAAAUUUCGAAAUCAGUUAUUAACCUAACUUAACCAAACUUUCAUCGUCACAAGUAAAAUAGAAUGCAAGUAAAAUCUUCCAUACAUUAACGUGGACUUUCACAUCGAGUUUCGUUGUCAAAUUUGCGUAGAGAAACUGCAGUUCAGAAUCUGAAGCAGAAGGUAUCGAAAACAAAAAUGUACAACUUCACUGGAUAAAGUCGAAGUCGAUAUGUUUUUUGAGUGCGAUCCGAUAGUGUGCAUCGAUGAAUCUGAGCGCAGUGCAGAAGAAUGCCCGAUAAUAUUAUUAUUGCGCGGGCGCGGGUCAAUAAUCGAGCACGUUGCCUGGCGACGGUGCUCCUGCUCUCUCUCAGCCUCCGGGAUUUCUUCUUCUGCGACUAGUCCUGCAGCUGCAACGCGCAGAACUCCAGCAACCUUCAUUACAUCCUCAUCGGACCGGUUUCAUAUCUUCUGGCUGAUAUACGUCGCCCCUAGCCUCCUAGUUCAAUGGUUCAGUUAUGUGGAGAAAAAGCAGACUGCUCGCCAAUUCCAAGUUACAGGAUGAACAGAACCUUGCAGCACGGUGUUCGAUCGCCGGCAGGUUCGAGAGACUAUGCGGAUUUAAGUUCAGCGAUUUAUCAUCUUUCCAAAAAUUCACCACACUUUUGUACCGACCUACUGACGGUGCUAAUUUGGGGGUCGUCAGAGCUCUCUUUGGGUUGUGCAUGGUGUUAGACGUGGUAGAAGAAAGAGGACUGUCAGACGUGGACAUAAAAUGGGGAGAUCCAAUGGAGUGUCACUUCCCAUUGAUUCACGGAAUGAAAGCCCCGUCACUGCCAUGGAUGAUACUGAUUUUCACUGUAAUGUGGAUGGGUGCCUUCGGUAUCAUGCUGGGCUUUCGCUUCAAGGUCGCCUGCGCCUGUUUCGUCAUUCCUUAUUGGUACAUCUUCCUGCUGGAUAAAAGCUACUGGAACAACCACACGUAUCUCUAUGGAAUCGUCGCGACUCUCCUCUGGGGUACGGAGGCUAAUAAGUACUUUGCACUGGACGCGUUGAAAACGAGAGAAGCUACUGUGCCCUUAUGGAAUUACUUCAUCUUGAGAUUUCAAUUCUUCGCGCUGUACUUUCUGGCGGGAUUAAAGAAAUCGAACGCGGAAUGGCUGUCAGGGUACGCCAUGACGAAUUUGUCCACGCACUGGGUCUUCAGCCCGUUCAAAUUAUUUUUGACCACUGAACAAACAGAUUUUUUCAUAGUCCACUGGUUCGGAUUUAUCUUUGACCUCACCGUUGGAUUUUGGAUGUUGUUUGAUAAAACACGUGUCCCUGCAAUGAUCUUCUGCACCGCCUUUCAUCUGAUGAACUCUAGGCUGUUCAGUAUCGGAAUGUUUCCAUACGUGUGUCUCGCAACAAUGCCACUGUUCUGCAGCACCGAUUGGCCCCGAAGACUCGUAUCUUUCUUCAAGCACAAUAUUUCUUUCCUUGCACAAAAUCUCCGAAUUAAACGAAAUUCUGUAAAACGAUUAAGUGCCGGUACGUCAGAGACAUUAAACCAAAAAAAUUGCGAGAUGUCUAGUGGCAAGUUACGAGACGAAACAAACGGUAAUUCGAUGAACGAUAAACAUAGAAAAAAUACGACAGAUUCGAGGAAUCGUGAGAUGAUUCGUAAAAAUUUUAAAGACUGUGUCAAACCAACGAAGGUGACAAAGAGACAGAAGUUCGUUGUGUCUCUGUUGUUAUUUCAUGUAUUUUUACAAUUUUUCUUGCCGUACUCCCACUUCAUUACGAAGGGUUACAAUAAUUGGGUGCCGGGUAUGUAUGGAUACUCCUGGGAUAUGAUGGUUCACGUUUGGGAUACUAUAUUGGUUGUUAUUAAAGUUCAUGAUAAUGUGAGCAAUGAAGAUCGUUAUCUUGAUCCUAAGGCAUGGGUGCAAACUGAUAGAUGGAAGACACAUGGUGAUAUGGCUAGACAAUACGCUUUUUGUUUAAAAGAUAAUCUGAUCGAGCAAGAAAGCGAACGCAACGGCAAAACAAAAUGGACGCCACUGUCAACUAAUUUAAGCAUUUAUAUCGACGUGUGGUGUUCACUGAACGGAAGAUUCCAACAAAGAAUGUUUAAUCCGAAUGUCGACUUGUUGACAGUAGAUUGGCACCCGUUUAAGCCCAUCUCGUUUUUAAUGCCCCUAUUGUCGCAAUAUAAUUCGUACAGAUAUAAACUAGAAGAAAUCCAGCAAGACGUUUACGCCUGGUCGAACGAUACAGACGUGCUUUUCGUAGCCGAUUUCCCAGGAAUGCAUUUGGACAAUUACAUCUCCAAAAACUUCACCAACGUCUCAUUAACUGUACUAGAAGGAGAAGUGAAAUACAGCGACGAGAAUAAAGGAAAGGGUGUGAUCGUUUCUAAAGGAUCAUCGAUCCCCAUAAAAACGGGUCAAUUUCACAAAGUAGAAACAAUCAGCACUUAUCCAGCCUGCUACAUGUACACCUAUACUAAUCGAAACAAACAGAAAUCGGAAUCAGACAGGACAAGUGACCUUGAUGAACAAAGAGAACCCCUGUCAAUACGAAAAGAAAUUAAUUACAAAGUCGACGCAUGGUUGAGGUCCUUCAAUCAUAUAGCAAAUGCAUUUUUUUACCUAGUUUAUAACGUUCCUAUGGUGCGGAGGGUGCAGGUUAAUAAAUAAUGUCAAUUGCAUCUGUAUUGUUGAAUUAAUCCUAGAUUUUCUGGAAUACACUUUAAAACGGUACGUGGCAUAGUGAAAGAAUGUAGACUGUCAGUUACACCGUGCUACAAAGUGAACUUUAAUAGAAACCAAGGAAACUAUGUAGCACAAUUGCAUCUGUGAUAAAUUGAUUACAACAUCGGUGAACAUAGACAUAGUGGUUGCAAUCGAUCAAGAUCCAAACGAUCGAAUCGUGGUAAUAUGUUUGCCAAGCGAUUAUAGUGACUGUGAUGUGGUAAUAAAAUUAAAUGAAGUUUCUUUGAGAAAUAUCAUGGAUGUAAUCACGGGAUUUGACGCAUAGAUGCGAAAGAUUGUCACCUGUUUAUGAAGAUAAGAGAUACGUCGAUUGUUUGGACUGCUCAUUUUCAA